RNAcentral lists this long non-coding RNA (906 nucleotides) under Olea europaea subsp. europaea. Lineage: Eukaryota; Viridiplantae; Streptophyta; Magnoliopsida; Lamiales; Oleaceae. The record is from RNAcentral.
AUUUUGGGGCUAAUUUAUGGAGUUUGCCUUGGGCCCCAAAAAUCACGGGACCGGUCCUAUCCUUUAAGCAUAGAUUUACCUUAUUAUUAUAUUUUAAUAAUACUUUAUUUGUUUACUCAAAGCCAGAUUUUGACCUCGAUCCAAUAGAAACACUUUCGUGAUUUAACCAAAACCUAGUUUACCAUUUAUUAUUUAGGUGUAACAGCAAUUUUCAUCAAGUUUGUGGCCUUUCUUAUGAUGCCACUCUCCCCCUUCUUUCUAAUUCACUGGUAAUAAUCUCUACUCUUUACUACUCAAUUUGCAUUGAGGUGUUCAAUAGUCUUCGUGUUCCUCUAUUAGUUGUAAUUAUUUUGGUUAUUGAAGGGCUAUAUUGGCAUCUUUCUUCUGUUGCAUUUUUGCAUUUCUUUUUUAUUAUUUCAGUUUAUGUGUUGAUACUAAUUAGAUCAUAUUUUUAGGUCAACGAGUGAUAAGCUGCAUUUUUCUGAACAAAGAUAUCAGAAUGAAAUCGAAAAUAAAAUGGGCAGCCAUUGGAGGACUAGUGUUGUCAUUUAUGUCUUUAUUGGUGCAUUUAUUUCUUGCCAAGUAUAGCGCUGAUCUAGUAGAAUACAGUGAAAUCUUUGGUGUUUACUACGAUAUCAUUACCUUGUUGUGAUUUUCAUAUUGUUGUGCAUGUCUGAAUGAGUUACUAAUAUUGUCAUUGGCAAUCGAUGUAAUGCAAAGGUCACAACACGUUCCAACGUGUCAAAUGUGGAGAAAGUACAUGAUGCAUUCGACGAUGUACAUAACGUGUCAAAUGUGGAGAAAUUAUACAAUACCGAUAUUUUUGUCCUUGAUUAUGAUUUGUAGGACCUUUUGAUGUAUUUGUAUGUUUACGAUUUAUGAGUGUAAAUAUAAUUUUAUAGUGUA